This 740-nucleotide ribosomal RNA is filed under the name actinobacterium L2002. Its description in RNAcentral is "bacterial SSU rRNA". It matches the Rfam family "Bacterial small subunit ribosomal RNA", at positions 18 to 744 of the family's 1533-position model. The record is from RNAcentral. Lineage: Bacteria; Bacillati; Actinomycetota; Actinomycetes.
CCUGGCUCAGGACGAACGCUGGCGGUGUGCUUAACACAUGCAAGUGGUGCGACGAACCUGGCUUCGGCCAGGGGCAAAGCCGCGAACGGGUGAGUAACACGUGGGUAAUCUGCCCCGAUGACUGGGACAACCCGAGGAAACUCGGGCUAAUACCGGAUGUGGUGCCUGGACAUAAGUCUGGUCACUAAAGGUAGCUUCGGCUUCCGCAUUGGGAGGGGCCCGCGGCCCAUUAGCUUGUUGGUGGGGUCAAGGCCUACCAAGGCAACGAUGGGUAGCUGGUCUGAGAGGACGAUCAGCCACACUGGGACUGAGACACGGCCCAGACUCCUACGGGAGGCAGCAGUGGGGAAUCUUGCGCAAUGCGCGAAAGCGUGACGCAGCAACACCGCGUGAGGGAAGACGGCCUUAGGGUUGUAAACCUCUUUCAGAUGGGACGAAGGUGAUGCGGUGAAUAGCCGAUGUCAUUGACGGUACCGUCAGAAGAAGCUCCGGCUAACUACGUGCCAGCAGCCGCGGUAAUACGUAGGGAGCGAGCGUUGUCCGGAAUCAUUGGGCGUAAAGAGCAUGUAGGUGGAUCAAUAAGUCUGCUGUGAAAGUCGAAGGCUCAACCUUCGAAAGCCGGUGGAUACUGUUGAUCUAGAGUACGGAAGAGGCGAGUGGAAUUCCUGGUGUAGCGGUGGAAUGCGCAGAUAUCAGGAGGAACACCAAUAGCGAAGGCAGCUCGCUGGGACGUAACUGAC